ACUAAAUUGUAAAAAGUGCAAAAGUUGAGUUCUUUAUAUAUGAGGUGCCUAAUUGUUAUGAGUUUUAAAUUGAAAGUCCUUAUGUGACAAUUAUUCCUUUAAUAAGUUAGUGAAUGGAUAUUUGUUUGGUAUUUUUGAAAUUUGGUUGAAAUAAAAAGGGUAAUUUUGUAAAUUAAUUAAAAUAACCUAAUAAGACAAAUGAUAAAAGCUAUCAUUUUUUUUUCAUUCUUUCUUCUUCAACCGUGGGAAAGAACAGAAAAUAGCAGCCAUGGAUGAGCUCCAUUCGGCCAAGCUUUUAUGGCUUAUAUAGAUGAUGAAAAUUGAGACUUGGACCUAGAACGGAAAGAAAUCGAUUUAUGGACGAGUAUGUCCUUUUCACAUUUGUGGUAUCGAGGUAAGUUCGUAUGUAAACAAUACCAUGCUAUACAUGUAUUUAAAUGUUAUCAUUACAUGAAUUGUACAGAUAUUAAUGUGUAUGUAAUUAAUGAAAUAUGAUAAGACAAAGCCUUAAUAGACGAGGAAAAAUCCCGUUUGAACCUUAGGAAUAGAAUAGGAUACGAGUGACAUGUCACUAGGAAUUAUGAGUCUAGAUGACUAGCUCGAGAGUGAGCAUUGAAAUGUCAUGAGAUAUGAGGUAGCUUUAGCUACAAUUGAAGCACUUAUGUGCAAAA
Long non-coding RNA from Gossypium arboreum, 671 nucleotides. RefSeq lists it as uncharacterized. The record is from RefSeq and is a predicted model, not a curated record. Lineage: Eukaryota; Viridiplantae; Streptophyta; Magnoliopsida; Malvales; Malvaceae. The transcript has 2 exons.